AAAUGGGUGUCCCCCUGGUCGGUCUGCAGCAGCACACGCGAGACCGAGUUAUUGCCGGUGCAACAGAAGUUCCUUUACUGCAGGAGGAGUUUAACCAGCCUUCUCCCAACUUCUCUCUGCCACCAAGAAAGACCCUUCCUGGGAGGCCGUAGCUAUUGCAUGUGAACACUUCUAAAAACAUAGCUCCAGCAUCCCUCUUUGCCGCUGAAGUAUUGAAUUCUGUGGAUUGGAAGAAAUAAAAGUCUCAGUGUGCAUA
This is a long non-coding RNA of Lontra canadensis (Northern American river otter), 256 nucleotides long. RefSeq lists it as uncharacterized. The transcript is spliced from 2 exons. NCBI's taxonomy places the organism in Eukaryota, Metazoa, Chordata, Mammalia, Carnivora, Mustelidae. The record is from RefSeq and is a predicted model, not a curated record.